AGCAGCCGCGGUAAUUCCAGCUCCAAUAGCGUAUAUUAAAGUUGUUGCAGUUAAAAGCUCGUAGUUGAAUUUCGGGAUCAGUUGAUCGGUCGUGCCUCGGUACGUACUGGUCAAAUUGAUUCCUACCUUCUGACGAACCACGAUGUCAUUAAUUUGGUGUCGUGGGAAAUCAGGACUGUUACUUUGAAAAAAUUAGAGUGUUUAAAGCAGGCUCGCGCUUGAAUACAUUAGCAUGGAAUAAUGAAAUAGGACGUUUGAUUCUAUUUUGUUGGUUUCUAGGAUCGACGUAAUGAUUAAUAGGGAUAGUUGGGGGCAUUAGUAUUCAAUUGUCAGAGGUGAAAUUCUUGGAUUUAUUGAAGACUAACUACUGCGAAAGCAUUUGCCAAGGAUGUUUUCAUUAAUCAAGAACGAAAGUUAGGGGAUCGAAGACGAUCAGAUACCGUCGUAGUCUUAACCAUAAACUAUGCCGACUAGGGAUCGGAUGAUGUUAAUUUUUUAAUGAUUCGUUUGGCACCUUACG
RNAcentral lists this ribosomal RNA (520 nucleotides) under uncultured Glomus. RNAcentral describes it as "SSU rRNA". It matches the Rfam family "Eukaryotic small subunit ribosomal RNA", at positions 569 to 1092 of the family's 1831-position model. The record is from RNAcentral. Lineage: Eukaryota; Fungi; Glomeromycota; Glomeromycetes; Glomerales; Glomeraceae.